RNAcentral lists this ribosomal RNA (850 nucleotides) under Promicromonospora sp. I11A-02595. RNAcentral's name for it is "bacterial SSU rRNA". It matches the Rfam family "Bacterial small subunit ribosomal RNA", at positions 45 to 908 of the family's 1533-position model. The record is from RNAcentral. Lineage: Bacteria; Bacillati; Actinomycetota; Actinomycetes; Micrococcales; Promicromonosporaceae.
UGCUUACACAUGCAAGUCGAACGGUGAAGCCCAGCUUGCUGGGUGGAUCAGUGGCGAACGGGUGAGUAACACGUGAGCAACCUGCCCUCCACUUCGGGAUAAGCCUUGGAAACGAGGUCUAAUACCGGAUACGAGCACUUACCGCAUGGUGGGUGUUGGAAAGUUUUUCGGUGGGGGAUGGGCUCGCGGCCUAUCAGCUUGUUGGUGGGGUAAUGGCCUACCAAGGCGUCGACGGGUAGCCGGCCUGAGAGGGCGACCGGCCACACUGGGACUGAGACACGGCCCAGACUCCUACGGGAGGCAGCAGUGGGGAAUAUUGCACAAUGGGCGAAAGCCUGAUGCAGCGACGCCACGUGAGGGAUGACGGCCUUCGGGUUGUAAACCUCUUUCAGCAGGGAAGAAGCGAGAGUGACGGUACCUGCAGAAGAAGCGCCGGCUAACUACGUGCCAGCAGCCGCGGUAAUACGUAGGGCGCAAGCGUUGUCCGGAAUUAUUGGGCGUAAAGAGCUCGUAGGCGGUCUGUCGCGUCUGGUGUGAAAUCCCAUGGCUCAACCAUGGGCUUGCAUCGGGUACGGGCAGACUAGAGUGCUGUAGGGGAGACUGGAAUUCCUGGUGUAGCGGUGGAAUGCGCAGAUAUCAGGAGGAACACCGAUGGCGAAGGCAGGUCUCUGGGCAGUUACUGACGCUGAGGAGCGAAAGCAUGGGGAGCGAACAGGAUUAGAUACCCUGGUAGUCCAUGCCGUAAACGUUGGGCACUAGGUGUGGGGCGGGUUCCACUCGUUCUGUGCCGCAGCUAACGCAUUAAGUGCCCCGCCUGGGGAGUACGGCCGCAAGGCUAAAACUCAAAGGA